CAAAGUAAAUGACGCACAGCAGAAAGCAUUUUCUCUGUUCAUUUAAGACCUAUUAUACUGCAUAAUGUAAAGUGACUAAUAUGAAAGCUGGUUAAGACAGCCAUAUGCAAAUUGAUCUGUGACUAUAACAGUCGUAAAACCAGAAGGGAAGUUUGGACAGUGCGUGUUGGCAAUAUUCACAAGGUGCAGAGCUGUGCAGUAGCAUUUUUCAGACAACCACACAGAGCUAAUUAAGGUGCACGUUUGUUGUGGCCACCCCAGUUGGAGGAAGCAAGGAUUUAAAUUUCAGCUGUAGCACCUGAUCUGCAGAAAAAGCAUUAAAGGCUUUAUAAAGAAGAACUUCAUCAAUGUUCUCUGGCUGUCUUAUGGAGACAAAAGUUGUGGUGAUCUCAGCUGGACCCUGUAGAGGAAAGCAAGGCAGCCACACACUCCAACUAACUGAGCAAUUUAUUGUUAAACCCUAUUAAAGUAAAUAGAAUUUUCCAGCAUGUAUUUGAUGGUAAGUCUGUAUGUUCUUUGCUUUGUAAGGAGUCCUCUAUGGCUAGAAGUUCAGCAGAGUUAGAAUAUGCUUUGCAUUCAGUUUUCUUUGUAUGGCUUGGCUGAAGUUUGUUGUCUUGUUUUGAGGUAGUUCAUUUAAUCUGAUUGUGCAAGCAUAAAAAUCCUUUUGUAAAAAAAAA
Non-coding RNA from Pogona vitticeps (central bearded dragon), 677 nucleotides. The record is from RefSeq and is a predicted model, not a curated record. Lineage: Eukaryota; Metazoa; Chordata; Lepidosauria; Squamata; Agamidae.